GAUGAACGCUGGCGGCGUGCCUAAUACAUGCAAGUCGAGCGAACAGAUGAGGAGCUUGCUCCUCUGACGUUAGCGGCGGACGGGUGAGUAACACGUGGAUAACCUACCUAUAAGACUGGGAUAACUUCGGGAAACCGGCGCUAAUACCGGAUAAUAUAUUGAACCGCAUGGUUCAAUAGCGAAAGACGGUUUUGCUGUCACUUAUAGAUGGAUCCGCGCCGCAUUAGCUAGUUGGUAAGGUAACGGCUUACCAAGGCGACGAUGCGUAGCCGACCUGAGAGGCUGAUCGGCCACACUGGAACUGAGACACGGUCCAGACUCCUACGGGAGGCAGCAGUAGGGAAUCUUCCGCAAUGGGCGAAAGCUUGACGGAGCAACGCCGCGUGAGUGAUGAAGGUCUUCGGAUCGUAAAACUCUGUUAUUAGGGAAGAACAAAUGUGUAAGUAACUAUGCACGUCUUGACGGUACCUAAUCAGAAAGCCACGGCUAACUACGUG
This 497-nucleotide ribosomal RNA is filed under the name uncultured bacterium. RNAcentral describes it as "partial 16S ribosomal RNA". It matches the Rfam family "Bacterial small subunit ribosomal RNA", at positions 28 to 507 of the family's 1533-position model. The record is from RNAcentral.